RNAcentral lists this unclassified non-coding RNA (357 nucleotides) under Hevea brasiliensis (rubber tree). Lineage: Eukaryota; Viridiplantae; Streptophyta; Magnoliopsida; Malpighiales; Euphorbiaceae. The record is from RNAcentral.
CAAUUUUCCAGAUUAACUGAAGCACUCAGAUCGAGCUGGUACAUGGAUUCUUACGUAUUAACCCUCUGAAGGGGACAAAAGUUAUAAAACUAUUUUCCAAUUUACAUGUCAUCAUGCAGAGCAACUAGUCAAUACUAUCAAAUGAUCACAGGAAACAUAAUAUUUCUUUAACAAAAAUCAUAAAUUCGGAUGAGUGGAUUCUAUUUCUUCCCCGCCACUUAGAAAAUAAAGUAAACAAACCAUGUAAAAAAGGUGCUCAGGAAGCAUGAAAGAAUUCAGAGAAAUAGAGUUCAAAGAGACUGACAUUAGAAAAUAGCCAAUAAGUGCUGAGUACCUGGUUUACAAAGCCCUCCAGUG